Ruditapes philippinarum (Manila clam) is the source of this 10651-nucleotide long non-coding RNA. RefSeq lists it as uncharacterized. The transcript is spliced from 2 exons. Lineage: Eukaryota; Metazoa; Mollusca; Bivalvia; Venerida; Veneridae. The record is from RefSeq and is a predicted model, not a curated record.
AAGACACAUUUGUCCGGGGAGAAAGAUGUGGAAGACACGUCAGCUUGAAUUUUCUAAGGGUAAGAUAGCUAGUGAAGAUAACAUAUUUCACAGGCUAUGUCCAAAAAGACAAGAUCUUGAACCACAUUAACAAAAGUUGUCAGAUGGACAAACUAUAUUUGUAUGUAUUCAGACAAAUUGAAUGUGUCGCUACUAACGAUAAAAGUCAUAUUUCUGAAUAAUGAUCAUCAACAAGCAUAGACAUGUGCCAAGACAUUGGGUAAAUCAUAAAAGUGUGUGAAAAAUGAAAUUAAAAUUUACCCAUAUAACAUGUUGAUACAUGUCAUACCCAAUAAGACAGUAUCUGUUGCUGUAGAUGAAAAGUUAUUGAUCAAACAAAAACACAGCUGUUAAGAUGAAGUGUUUAUUUAUUCUUUAUUAUAAAAACAAUGGAUAGAUUACCUUUUGAAGGUAAAACAGUGAAUACUCAAGUGGUCAUGAUACCUUUUUCCAACAGGAAGGUUGAUUUAAUAAGACUUAAGUGGACAUGAUACUUUUGUCAACAGGAAGGAAGAUUUGUGAAGUCUUUCAUGGUCAUGAUACUUCUGUGGACAGGGAGGAAGAUUUGUGAAGACUUUUAUGGUCAUGAUACUUCUGUGGACAAGAAGGAAGAUUUGUGAAGACUUUAUGGUCAUGAUACUUCUGUGGACAGGGAGGAAGAUUUGUGAAGACUUUUAUGGUCAUGAUACUUCUGUGGACAAGAAGGAAGAUUUGUGAAGACUUUAUGGUCAUGAUACUUCUGUGGACAAGAAGGAAGAUUUGUGAAGACUUUUAUGGUCAUGAUACUUCUGUGGACAAGAAGGAAGAUUUGUGAAGACUUUUAUGGUCAUGAUACUUCUGUGGACAGGAAGGAAGAUUUGUGAAGUCUUUCAUGGUCAUGAUACUUCUGUGGACAGGAAGGAAGAUUUGCGAAAACUUAUUUGGUUACGAUACUACUGUCAACAAGAAGGAAGAUUUCUGAAGACUUUAGCGGUCAUGAUACCUUAGCCACCAGGCAGGAAGAUUUCUGUGGACUUUUAAUGAUCAUGAAACAUUUAUAAACAGGAAACAUAUCCUUGUCACCAGUCAUACAACAGGAAUGUUUAAAUUAUUAUCGUUGUAAGGGUAAAGUAGCAUUAAUUCAAUUAUCUCUACACUGGCUUGUAACACACCCAAAUUAAUGUUUCUUUUGUCUUAUUUAUAAUGCUUUUAUAAGAAGCUCACUUGAGCAUUACAUACAAAGGUAAGCUUUUGUGGUUGAGCAUCAUACAUACAAUGUACAAGACAGUUAGUUUUUUUUAAAUAACUAAUUUUUGUUAAAACACUUAUUAUUGCUAGUAAGUCUUUCUGUUUCCAAUUUUUUUACUGUAUAAUUAUCUUUUCAUGUCUUAUGAAUUGUAAGAACAAUUAACAUAUUUAGGAAACUUGGAUAUUUUUCAACUUCUAACAAACUAGUAAAUAACAUUUUACUCAACACUUUUUCACAACUGUCAAAACAAUAAGCUUGAAACUUGGGAGACUUGGUUACAUGGACAAGGUACAUUUGUUACAGAAGGGUCAUUAUUCUUAAAGCUAUGUAUUUUAAGUAACACCUUUUUUAACCUGGACUUUUUGUCAAAAUUGUUUAUAAAGUUGAAUGAUUAGAUCAUCAUGAAGCACUUUAAAAUCAUGACAAGGCACAAUUUUUAAACAAGGGGCAUUAUUCUGGAUGCAAUAUAUUAGAGUUAUGCCACUUUUUAACAUUUGAGUAGAAUGAUUUCAAAAGAAUGAAAUAUAUUAUAUAAACAUGAAUCUUUGAAAACUUGUAUUUCAUGACAAGGCACAGUUAAUAGAAAGAUAUAUUUUUGGAGUUGUGCCCUUUUUUAAAUUAGAUGUUUUUUGUUGCUUAUUAUCAGUAGAAUUAUUUUAUACUAUCAAAGUAUCAACUUGAACUUCAAAUACUUGAUUAUCAUGAGAGGGCACAGAUGUGAGGCAAGGGACAUUAUCCUGAAAGCAAUACUUUUAGGAUUGUAAUACUUGUAUUGAAAAAAUUGGUAAUAGAUAGCGGUUGCCCUUCACAGACAAGCCUUAACACUGCAUGUUGUGCUAGUGUCCUAAGGAUAGUCUUUCCUUCAUGAAACACCGUUUCUUUUGCCAAAUUUGAUGUGUUCAAGAUAUGCAAAGAACAAUGUUUGAAUGGCAGGCUUCGAUGGCCAUAAUUUUGUUAUAUAUAAUUACUACCCCCUGUUUAUUAAAUCAGAAGCAGAAUUUUGAAAUUGCUUGAAAUUGCUUGAAAUUGCAUUGUUUGUCCAUGUUUGUUAACAACUUUCCAAGGUAGUCAUGAUAGACAGUUGUUGCAAAGAUCUGACUUUAGUUCAUCAUUUAAAGCGCAUCAAAAUUAGUCAGGUUGUUCCCUGGAAGUUUUUAGUACCUUUGAUUUCACAGUCUGAGUUUCAUAUGUCUGGUUGUAUGAACCAACUAUGUCUGGUUGUAUGAACCAACAUGCUUCUUUUCUUGUCAUCAAUAUAAUCUUAAUAAACCCUCUUACUUAAUAUCAUUUUAGUUCGACAAACUUAACUGAAACUGACCAGCAACCUUCGUAAGUAGAAAGUUCAGAUUUCUCCUUGUGCUCAAUCUCUUUUUUUUUUUCAAAUGAUGAUAACGUUUUUAUUUUUGCUAAUAUUUGUGUCAUGUAAAGAGUCUCCAGAUAUUGAUGAUUUAUUUGCCCCAAACUGUAGAACAAUGUUUAUGGAAGCGCACUUGUAAUGAAUAUCAGCUACUAGUAUGGAAAGAACUCACUUGUGCAACUUUAACGUGGAAAAGUUUGUACAUAAAAACAUACUUUUGAGUAAUAUGAAAUAAAAGAUCAUACUUGACUUAUAAUAUUAAUAAAAUACAUAUUUGUAUCCAGCAUGAAAUUCAGCUUCAAUUAUUGUCACUAAAUCUUAUAACAUUGUUUUUCUAUGCUCACACAAAAACAAACCGAACUUGCUGCCAUCAGGUCAUACAAUAAUUAAAAAUACAAGAAAGGAAAGUGAAAAGCAACUAACAACAAGAGCAAACAAAAACAUAAUAUAAACAAAAUAUUGACAAUGGUACAUAAAGCUUAUUGAAUAUCAAGUGUGCAGCAAUACAAGAGAAAUACAAGGGAAAUACAUUGAUUUUUCUAUAUUUAAACUUGCUUAGUUUUGCUGUGAAAUAAGAUGAUCUGUGGUAUCAUCAUCUUAAGCAAUUUCCCCAAGACCAAACACAUUGCAUUCUCUCAACAUUCUCAUUGACUUAUCCACUGCCCCUCAAAAUUGCACUUUAGGAGCAUGGAUGCUUAACCUUCAGGGUAAAAAAAUGAGAACAAAGAUAACAUAUGGUGUUUGAGCUAUGUUAGUUUUUGGCGGGUAGCUGUCAUCACUAAAGACCAUGGCAGCUUCUUAGAUCAUGGCAGCUUCCUCGACCUUAAGAGCAUUUGCCAAUAUUAAAGGUUAAUGAGAGUAAAAUCAUAGAUUUCUUUUUGUUCUCCUUGUUGAAUGCUGAAAGGAAUAUAUAAUUAUUAAAACUGAUUAUAAAAAUAUAUCAAAAUAUUUCAUAUUAAAUGUUGGAUUUAUUUCCUGGCCUUGUGUGUACUUAAAGUCUAGUGUCACAGAGAUGGUGUGGAUAUUUCGUCAAUCUCCUGACAGCUCUAGUGCAAACAGGUCUUUGAUAGUAGGUUAUCCACUUUGAUGGCUUUAUAUCAUACUAUCACACUCCUGUGGACACGGUUUGUUCUAUGUUUAUUUCCAUUAGCUUUGGCAUUUUCUUUGGCAAUGACAGGAGAAAAUUUGUUUUGUUUCAUGUUCAGGUGACAGUCUCGCAUGAUGAAUAUUUCUAUAUUUUGAUUUUCAAAUCCAGUGAACUCAGUGACUUCUCUGAAAUAUACCAAUGAAGUUUGAUCAUGGUACAUUCUGUUUAAUUGUUUUGAAACUUGGGACAACUUCUCACGAUCAUGCUUUGUAUAUGUUUACAUUUGAAGAAUCAUUUCAUCAGGCAUAUUUAGUAUUUGCUUUCCUGUAUUAGAAAUAAACUAUUUAAAUCUCAAUAGUGAACCAUUCUAAAAUGGGUCUUUUUCAAUAUGUAUAGAACAUAUACCAAACAAAUCUGCCCUUUGAAAGCAUCAAAAUUAGAUUUUAACAUGAUAAUAAUUGACAAAGGCAUUAAUAAGGCAUUUGAAUUAUAAACAUGUGACUCAAAGCAUUACUUUGAAAAAGUGGUGUCAGUCACAUCAUCUGUUCGAUUCAAUAAUCGAGUUUCCUGAAAUAUCGUCCAUAACACCACUGCUCCUAGGCAUCUGUAGAAACAGUGAUGUGUAGGUGAUAUAUAUGGCAAUACCUCUUUCAUGUCUUUCUUUUCCUUAUAGUUUAUUGAUCUGUUAUAACGGUUUAUCAGGCGUCUCUCUUAGUCUAUUGUUGUAUGACCUAUACCUGUUGGAAUGUUUAGUGUUGGGAUGGUCUUCUGAAGGUCAAAUGUAAUAACACAUAUUGUCUUGUCACUUUUUACACAUGUCCUUGCUGGGUAUUUUGAAUGAAUGUUAAUAUUUUCCCUCUCUUCAAAAUAUCUAUAUUUUGUGCAUUCAUAACUCCAAUGAUUUUCCCAGAGUAUAUACAUAUUUUUUGAGUAGUCUUUAUUGAUUGUAUUUGUUCUACUUGCUAACAGAUAUAAUUAGCUACUAUAGUGCUCCAUUAGUAGUAACACUAUACUACAGCAAAGAAAUCUCUUAUAGAUGUAUAUUCUCUAGAACAGUCACUAUGUGUAGGUCGUUUAAUGCUGUAUUUAAAUUAAAUACUUUCAGGCAUUUGUCUCUUAUUUCUUUCUGCACUGUUUACUUUUAUCCCUUUUUCAACAUUGUUAUUCUUUUUCUCAGCUGUCACACGAGCAACAUGAUAAUUCUCAUUAGAUAGUUCCAACCAAGAUACCGCGCUCCUCGCCUCUCCGUAUACUUUGCUUCGUAAGUAAUAAAAUUUUUAAAUAUCGGAGAUAUUUUUAUUUCUAUCACCGUUAAAUGAACACAUGUGUAACCAGUAGCUAGUAACCGGCAAUUUAACUGUCAUCGUUCUCUCAGUAUUUUUUUCUUUUUUAGACGUUCAAAAAAGGCUUUUUGUAACGUCAUUUGUUUCUGUUGUUGUUUUAUGAUACAACAAUACAUUUUUAGCUCGACUAUACGAAGUAUAUGGAGAGCUGUCCUACUCGCUCGGCGUCCGCGUCCAGAUUUUAGAUUAAAGUUUUCGUGCAGUAAAAUAUUUUUUCACUAUAACUUUGUCAUUUCUUAAGGUAUCAACUUCAAACUUCAAAUAUAUGUUCCUUAUCAUCAACCACAUCUUAUGUGACAAGGUUCAUAACUCUAGCACCAAUAUUUUCAGAUUUAUCUCCCCUUGAACUUAGAAUUUUCCUUAAAAAUACUUUUUUUUACUGUUCCUUCUUUAUUUCUUACAGGAUCAAUUUCAUACUUCAAAUAUAUGUAUCUUAUCAUCAUCAACAUCUUAUGUGACAAGGUUCAUAACUCUAGCGCCAAUAUAUUUAGAUUUAUCUCCCCUAGAACUUAAAAUUAUCCUUAUGAAAUAUUACUUUUUACUGUUACUUAAGGGAUCAACUUCAUACUUCAAAUAUAUGUACCUUAUCACCAUCCUUAUCUUAUGUGACAAGGUUUUUAACUCUAGCACCAAUAUUGCAAGAAUUAUCUCCCCAUAAACUUAGAUUUUUUUUCUAGAAAAAUGUUAUUUUUUACUAUGACAUUUUUAGUUUUAAACGUACAUGUAUCCACCUCAAACUUCAAAUACUUAUUCCUUAUCAUCAAUUACAUUUUAUGUUACAAUGUUCAUAACUCUUGAAGCAAUAUAUACAGAUUUAUUAUCCCCCGCCGAAAAGGCGGCGGGGGAUAUAGAAAUAGUCUCCGUCCGUCCGACCUUCCGCACUCACAGGAGAGUAAUUAUGUGGCUAGAGGGACAAUAGGUAACUGUUCUUUCUCUUUGAUGUCAUUCAUUCCGUAAUGCUUUUAUGUGGCUAUUUUCUUUUGUGUGGCUAAAAAGAAAAAUAGAGAGUACAAUAGAGUAGCCACAUAAUUACUGUCCUGUGAGAACGUCCGUCAGUCCGUCCGACAUUUUUGUCCGGAGCAUAUCUCUAAAAGUAUUUGAGUAAUCAACUUGAAACUUCAUAGGUGGAUAGACCUCUUUGAGGAGGAGUGCAGUGCACAAGAAUGAUAACUCUACCCUGCAUAAUUUUUGAGUUAUUGCCCUUUGUUAUUUUUCAAAAUUGAUUUUUGUCCAGAGCAUAACUCAAAAGGCCUUUGAGAUAUCAUUAUGAAACUUCAUAUGUGCAUAGAUCUAACUCAGGAGGUGUGCAGUGCACAAGAAUGAUAAAUCUACCUUUUAUAAUUUUAGAGUUAUUGCCCUUUGUUAUUUUUCAUACUUAAUUUUUCAAUUCAAUUUUUUUCUCAAAAAGUAUUUGAGGUAUCAACUUGAAAUUUCAUAGGUGGAUAGAUUUUACUGAGGAGGGAAUCAGCACACAAGAAUGAGAACCUACCCUGCAUUAUUUUUCAGUUACUGCCCUUUGUUAUUUUUUCACAUAGGUUUCAAAUUUGUAAUCACUAUAGCCAUCAGUUUUCAUUACCAAAUUACCUCUUAAAAUGGAAUUAUUCUGCUGUACUACAUAUACAUUCUUCCAAUGAGCAAACACAUUCGACGGGGGAUGGCCAUGUUGACAUGGCUCUUGUCUCUCAUUGAACUUAGGAUUUUUCAUACAAAAUAUUAUAACUUCUUUACUUUUUAAGGUAUCUACUUCAAACUUCAAAUAUAUAUUUCUUAUCAUUACACACAUGUUGUGUGACAAGGUUCAUAACUCUAGCGAGACUAUUUCUAGAAUUAUUCCUCUUGAUCUUGGAAUUAAUGUUAACAAUGUUAUUUUUGUGCCCCCACUUUAGUGGCGGGCAUUUAGAUUUACCCUUGUCCAUCCGUCCGUCUGUCCUUCCAUCCAUCCGUCCGUCCCUUCUCUUUUGUGUCGCACGUAACUCAAAAAGUAUUUAACUUAGAGUCAUAAAACUUUACAGGAAUGUUGAUCAGCAUGAGUAGUUGUGCACCUGGGUCUUUUCGUCUGGAUAUUUUUAGUGUUUUUAGCUCGACUAUUCGAUAAGAAUAAGUAGAGCUAUUGUAGUCACCCGAGCGUCGGCGUCCGCGUCGGCGUAACCACUUAUGUUAAAGUUUUUGUAAUAGUUUAAAUAUUUUCAAAGUCCAUUGACAUAUGGCUUUGAAACUUUGCACACUUGUUCAACAUCAUUACCCCAACCCGUAAACAGGAGGCGGUAACUGUAUCAAUCAUUUUGACAGAAUUAUGCCCCUUUUCGACUUAGAAUUUACGUUAAAGUUUUUGUAAUAGUUCAAAUAUUUUCAAAGUCCAUUGACCUAUGGCUUUGAAACUUUGCACACUUGUUCAGCAUCAUUACCCCAACCCGUAAACAGGAGGAGGUAACUGUAUAAAUCAUUUUGACAGAAUUAUGCCCCUUUUUUCGACUCAGAAUUUACGUUAAAGUUUUUGUAAUAGUUCAAAUAUUUUCAAAGUCCAUUGACAUAUGGCUUUGAAACUUUGCACACUUGUUCACCAUCAUUACCCCAACCUGUAAACAGGAGGAGGUAACUGUAUCAAGCAUUUUUUUUUUACAAUCAAGCACUAAGAAUAGUCGAGCGUUGCUGUCCUACCGACAGCUCUUGUUAGAGUUAUUGCCCUUGACUUAGUAAAAUUUUGCAAUUUUCAACUUGUGUCGCAUGUAACUCAAAAAUUAUUUGACCUAGAGUCAUGAAACUUUACAGGAAUAGUGAUCAUCAUGUGUAGUUAUGCACCUGGGUAUUUUCGUCUGGAUAGUUUUAGUAUUUUUAGAGUAAUUGCCCUUGACUUAGUAAAAUUUUGCAAUUUUCAACUUGUGUCGCAUGUAACCCAAAAAGGAUUUGACCUAGGGUCAUGAAACUUUACAGGAAUGUUGAUCAGCAUGUGUUGUUGAGCACCUGGGUAUAUUCGUCUGGAUUUAUUUAGUAUUUUUAGAGUUAUUGCCCUUGACUUAGUAAAAUUUUGUAUUUUUCAACUUGUGUCGCAUGUAACUCCAAAAGGAUUUGACAUAGAGUCAUGAAACUUUACAGGAAUAUUGAUCAGCAUAUGUAGUUGUGCACCUGUGUAUUUUCGUCUGGAUUUAUUAAGUAUUUUUAGAGUUUUUGCCCUUGACUUAGUAAAAUUUUGUAAUUUUCAACUUGUGUCGCAUGUAACUCAAAAAGGAUUUGACUUGUAGGCCUGAAAAUUUUCAAGAAUGUUGGUCAGCAUGUGUACUUAUGCUCCUUGGUGUUUGCUUGUGGAUUUAUUCAGUAAUUGUAAAGUUCUUGCUCUUUACUUAGUAAAAGAUUUUUAGUUUUCAAAAGAUAUUUGACCUAGAAUCAUAAGAUUGACAGUACAGUGGCACGGUGGGGGCACCCGUGUCCUAUGGACACAUUUCUAUGGUUUACUAUAAAUUAAAACAUACUUAUACAUAAUUGAUUUUUCUUUCAUAGUUUUGUCUUACUAACUGUGUCCAGUAUUUUAUUAGUCGAGCUUCGCUGUCUCCUGUGAUAGCUCUUGUUUAGUUCCUUAUAGUGCCCUUUAGGGUGGUAAUACCUCAAAUGAUUUCAUUGAACAUAUUUGCUCAAUGAUAUUUUUGUACGAAAUGCCUACACCUAUUUUGUAACACCAUAAUCAUUCAAUGUACAUUCAUAGACAUUCAAUAGAUUGAAACUGGACAGUAAGUUCGUUUCCUUUUUGACACAUUUUGAUGGUGUAAAUAAAUUAUGAUCUUUUCAUUUUAAAUAUAAUAUAAACUUCUUAAAUUUUAUAAGGAAUAACUAUUUUAAUAUCACAUCAUAAGAUCAUACGAAGUGUAUGUAAAUUUGUACAUUGAACAAAUUUUGAAAAUUUUCGGACACAUUACUUUGGAAAUUGAAAAGUGUCUUUUGAAAUUCUUCAAAUAGUAUAUUGAUAAUAAAUUUAUUUACUUGUCUCACAGUGUAUCCCUGUGAAUCCGUUUCCCGCACAGUUACAGAAAAUCAUAGAGUUUUGAAAGUAACACUGGGACUGUUCAGUGCAGUUGCCUGAAAAGUAUUAAUAGAUUAAUUCCUUGUAUGCUUCUCCAUAAUAUUCAUUACAUGCGCAUGCUUUAAAAUUACUUAUAAUUUGUCGUAUUCCUCUUUUAUCGCCAUUGUGGUCAUUAAUUUAUUAUAACACAAUUAUAUCAUUCUUGUGUUAUAAAAACACGGCCUGAAAAUGAAAAAUAAUUAUUAUUAACUUAAAUUGUAUUUGUUUUACUUGUUGACUAAAUCACAACCUUUUAAUGGAUAUGUAUAAAAUGUCCUUUCUUGACUUUCUUUUAACGUGACAGAAACAUUUUGUUUUGUUUGUUAUACAUGUGAAUGAACUACAAUUUGAACUGGUUCAAGAUAAUGAUUACGUUGUGGAUAUAUCAUUGUCCUGAAAGCAAUAUUUUUUUAAGUGUUAUGCCCCUAUUUAUCAAAAUGUGUUAUUUAACAGACAAACAAACACCGUAUAUAGUGCAUUUUUAGCUCACCUGUCACAAAGUGACAGGGUGAGCUUUUGUGAUCGCUUUUCGUCCGGCGUCCGUCCGGCGUCCGUCCGUCCGUAAACUUUUACUUUAAAUGACAUCUCCUCAUAAACCACUAAGCCAAUUUCAUCCAAACUUCACAGGAAUGUUCCUUUGGUGGUCACCUUUAAAAAUUGUUCAAAGAAUUUAAUUCCAUGCAGAACUCUGGUUGCCAUGGCAACCGAAAGAAAAAACUUUAAAUAUCUUCUUUUAAAAAACCAUAAGAGCUAGAGCUUAGAUAUUUGGCAUGAAACAUCUUCUAGUGAGUGUCUACCAAGUGUGUUCAAAUAAAAGCCCUGGGGUCAAAAUUGGCCCCGCCCCGGGGGGGUUAUUGAAUUUCCCUAUAUGCAUAUAGUAAAAACUUAAAAAAUCUUCUUUUAAAGAACCCAAAGAGCUAGAGCUAAGAUAUUUAGCAUGAAACAUGUUCUAAUGGGUGUCUACCAAGUUUGUUCAAAUAAAAGCCCUGGGAUCAAAAUUGGCCCCGCCCCAGGGGGUCAUUGAUUUUCCCUAUAUGCAUAUAGUAAAAACUUAAAAAAUCUUCUUUUAAAGAACCAAAAGAGUUAGAGCUAAGAUAUUUAGCAUGAAACAUGUUCUAAUGGGUGUCUACCAAGUUUGUUCAAAUAAAAGCCCUGGGAUCAAAAUUGGCCCCGCCCCGAGGGGUCAUUGAUUUUUCCUAUAUGCAUAUAGUAAAAACUUAAAAAAUCUUCUUUUAAAGAACUCAAAAAGCUAUGGCUAAGAUAUUUAGCAUCAAACAUGUUCUAAUAGGUGUCUACAAAGUUUGUUUAAAUAAAAGCCCUGGGGUCAAAAUUGGCACCGUCCCGGGGGUAAUUGAUUUUCCUUAUAUGUGUAUAGCAAAAACUUAAAAAAUCUUCUUUGAAAAAACCCAAAUAGCUAGAGUUAAGAUAUUAAGCAUGAAACAUCUUUUAGUGAGUGUCUACAAAGUUUGUUCAAAUAAAAGACCUGGGGUCAAAAUUGGCCCCGCCCCGGGGGUCAUUGAUUUUCUUUAUAUGUGUAUAGCAAAAA